UGGGGAAUAUUGCACAAUGGGGGAAACCCUGAUGCAGCGACGCCGCGUGAGUGAAGAAGUAUUUCGGUAUGUAAAGCUCUAUCAGCAGGGAAGAAAGGCCCGCAAGGGAGAUGACGGUACCUGACUAAGAAGCCCCGGCUAACUACGUGCCAGCAGCCGCGGUAAUACGUAGGGGGCAAGCGUUAUCCGGAUUUACUGGGUGUAAAGGGAGCGCAGACGGAACUGCAAGUCUGAUGUGAAAGCCCGGGGCUCAACCGCGGGACUGCAUUGGAAACUGUUUAGCUAGAGUGUCGGAGAGGUAAGUGGAAUUCCUAGUGUAGCGGUGAAAUGCGUAGAUAUUAGGAGGAACAUCAGUGGCGAAGGCGACUUACUGGACGAUAACUGACGCUGAGGCUCGAAAGCGUGGGGAGCAAACAGG
Molecule: ribosomal RNA, 418 nt
Filed under: uncultured prokaryote
Also listed under: 1 other name
Description: bacterial SSU rRNA
Rfam family: Bacterial small subunit ribosomal RNA
Source: RNAcentral